GACGAACGCUGGCGGCGCGCCUAACACAUGCAAGUCGAACGAGCGAGAGAGAGCUUGCUUUCUUGAGCGAGUGGCGAACGGGUGAGUAACGCGUGAGGAACCUGCCUCAAAGAGGGGGACAACAGUUGGAAACGACUGCUAAUACCGCAUAAGCCCACGACCCGGCAUCGGGUUGAGGGAAAAGGAGCAAUCCGCUUUGAGAUGGCCUCGCGUCCGAUUAGCUAGUUGGUGAGGUAACGGCCCACCAAGGCGACGAUCGGUAGCCGGACUGAGAGGUUGAACGGCCACAUUGGGACUGAGACACGGCCCAGACUCCUACGGGAGGCAGCAGUGGGGAAUAUUGCACAAUGGGGGAAACCAUGAUGCAGCGACGCCGCGUGGAGGAAGAAGGUCUUCGGAUUGUAAACUCCUGUUGUUGAGGAAGAUAAUGACGGUACUCAACAAGGAAGUGACGGCUAACUACGUG
RNAcentral lists this ribosomal RNA (466 nucleotides) under uncultured bacterium. RNAcentral's name for it is "partial 16S ribosomal RNA". It matches the Rfam family "Bacterial small subunit ribosomal RNA", at positions 28 to 507 of the family's 1533-position model. The record is from RNAcentral.